AAUGGAGAUAUUAUCACUUACAAUGAAAAUAACCCUUUGGGCAUUCCUAUAAAUAUAGUUAAAGGGUAU
RNAcentral lists this transfer RNA (69 nucleotides) under Gammarus koreanus. RNAcentral describes it as "tRNA-Val". The record is from RNAcentral. Lineage: Eukaryota; Metazoa; Arthropoda; Malacostraca; Amphipoda; Gammaridae.